UCCGCAAUGGGCGAAAGCCUGACGGAGCAAUACCGCGUGUGGGAGGAAGGCUCUUGGGUUGUAAACCUCUUUUCUCAGGGAAGAACAGAAUGACGGUACCUGAGGAAUAAGCAUCGGCUAACUCCGUGCCAGCAGCCGCGGUAAUACGGAGGAUGCAAGCGUUAUCCGGAAUGAUUGGGCGUAAAGGGUCCGCAGGUGGCAUUGUAAGUCUGCUGUUAAAGAGUUUGGCUCAACCAAAUAAGAGCAGUGGAAACUACAAAGCUAGAGUGUGGUCGGGGCAGAGGGAAUUCCUGGUGUAGCGGUGAAAUGCGUAGAUAUCAGGAAGAACACCAGUGGCGAAGGCGCUCUGCUAGGCCGAGACUGACACUGAGGGACGAAAGCUAGGGGAGCGAAUGGGAUUAGAUACCCCAGUAGUCCUAGCCGUAAACGAUGGAUACUAGGCGUAGCUCGUAUCGACCCGAGCUGUGCCGGAGCUAACGCGUUAAGUAUCCCGCCUGGGGAGUACGCAGGCAACUGUGAAACUCAAAGGAAUUGACGGGGGCCCGCACAAGCGGUGGAGUAUGUGGUUUAAUUCGAUGCAACGCGAAGAACCUUACCAAGGCUUGACAUGUCACGAAUCCUAUUGAAAGAUGGGAGUGCCUUCGGGAGCGUGAA
RNAcentral lists this ribosomal RNA (654 nucleotides) under uncultured cyanobacterium. Its description in RNAcentral is "bacterial SSU rRNA". It matches the Rfam family "Bacterial small subunit ribosomal RNA", at positions 365 to 1032 of the family's 1533-position model. Lineage: Bacteria; Bacillati; Cyanobacteriota. The record is from RNAcentral.